AGUGGUCACUGAGGAAGAAUAUAAGUUAGCCUCGUAGUGACCAUGUGGAAGUCCUGACCUCGCUUGCAGACUUGACCUCUGGAUGUGACAAGGUAGCUUCACUACAGCUCUACUAUUUAAUCCUGGAAACUAAAAACCAAAAAAAAAAAAAAAAAAAAUCUAAAAGCAAGAAAGAUGCAGACUAUUUCCUAAGAAGUCAGAAGAACCCAAUGUAUUCUGGAGGGCAAAGAAAAACAGGGUGAGGUUCUGUGUUCACUGAUACAUCCCCUUCCUUCACCGGGCUCAUGAAAAGAAAUGCUGAAUCAGCAAAUAGAGUGAACGAACAAUCAAGAUGAGAUGGCUGCUGUUGAUGUGAUUCUCUAGGUUACUACCUUUCUUCCUGCUGCAAAUGCUGCAUGACACUAAGCUUACAGGAUCUAGAAGCAGACUACAAAAAAAGAAGAAAUUCACUCUGAAGACUGAAGAAACACUAGGCUGAUCUUAAGUUUCCGAAAUACACUCUGUAACACUACACUGAUUCUUUGAAUCUCUUGCAAAAAGAAUCAAACCAGGACAAAGUUCAACAGAUAACUGGUCAAAUGCUUAGGAAUGUCUAUGUCCACCAAGAAUAUGGAACCAUUAAUGCCAUGCUUCAGGUAAACUUGUUACAAAAUUUAGUCUUCGAUAAAUUAGUCUCUGCAAAUGAUUUACCAUUGCUCUACAUUAGUAAGCUGAAUGUUUCACUAACAAAUAAGAAAAUAAAA
Molecule: long non-coding RNA, 743 nt
Filed under: Homo sapiens (human)
Lineage: Eukaryota; Metazoa; Chordata; Mammalia; Primates; Hominidae
Description: HSALNT0393288
Source: RNAcentral